GUAAGGAAUAUUGGGCAAUGGACGAAAGUCUGACCCAGCCAUGCCGCGUGAAGGAUUAAGGUCCUCUGGAUUGUAAACUUCUUUUCUCUGGGGCGAAAACCAGCUAUUCUUAGCUAUUUGACAGUACCAGAGGAAUAAGCACCGGCUAACUCCGUGCCAGCAGCCGCGGUAAUACGGAGGGUGCAAGCGUUAUCCGGAUUCACUGGGUUUAAAGGGUGCGUAGGUGGGCUAGUAAGUCAGUGGUGAAAUCCCCGAGCUUAACUUGGGAACUGCCGUUGAUACUAUUAGUCUUGAAUAUCGUGGAGGUAAGCGGAAUAUGUCAUGUAGCGGUGAAAUGCUUAGAUAUGACAUAGAACACCAAUUGCGAAGGCAGCUUGCUACACGGUCAUUGACACUGAGGCACGAAAGCGUGGGGAGCAAACAGGAUUAGAAACCCGUGUAGUCC
Molecule: ribosomal RNA, 445 nt
Filed under: uncultured bacterium
Lineage: Bacteria
Description: bacterial SSU rRNA
Rfam family: Bacterial small subunit ribosomal RNA
Source: RNAcentral